AACGACUCUCGGCAACGGAUAUCUCGGCUCUCGCAUCGAUGAAGAACGCAGCGAAAUGCGAUACUUGGUGUGAAUUGCAGAAUCCCGCGAACCAUCGAGUCUUUGAACGCAAGUUGCGCCCAAAGCCUUYCGGCCGAGGGCACGUCUGCCUGGGUGUCACGC
Molecule: ribosomal RNA, 162 nt
Filed under: Croton saltensis
Lineage: Eukaryota; Viridiplantae; Streptophyta; Magnoliopsida; Malpighiales; Euphorbiaceae
Description: 5.8S ribosomal RNA
Rfam family: 5.8S ribosomal RNA
About the family: 5.8S ribosomal RNA (5.8S rRNA) is a component of the large subunit of the eukaryotic ribosome. It is transcribed by RNA polymerase I as part of the 45S precursor that also contains 18S and 28S rRNA. Functionally, it is thought that 5.8S rRNA may be involved in ribosome translocation.
Source: RNAcentral